RNAcentral lists this ribosomal RNA (514 nucleotides) under uncultured bacterium. RNAcentral's name for it is "partial 16S ribosomal RNA". It matches the Rfam family "Bacterial small subunit ribosomal RNA", at positions 28 to 523 of the family's 1533-position model. The record is from RNAcentral.
GACGAACGCUGGCGGCGUGCCUAACACAUGCAAGUCGAACGGGGAGUUAGUAAUAACUCCUAGUGGCGAACGGGUGAGUAACGCGUAGAUAACCUGCCUCUAAACUGGGGACAACACCGCGAAAGUGGUGCUAAUACCGAAUGUGGUAACUUGAUCGCAUGAUUGAGUUAAGAAAGAUGGCCUCUAUUUAUACGCUAUCGAUUAGAGAUGGGUCUGCGUCUGAUUAGCUAGUUGGUGAGGUAAUGGCUCACCAAGGCGACGAUCAGUAGCCGGUCUGAGAGGAUGAACGGCCACACUGGGACUGAGACACGGCCCAGACUCCUACGGGAGGCAGCAGUGGGGAAUCUUCCGCAAUGGACGAAAGUCUGACGGAGCAACGCCGCGUGAGUGAAGAAGGUCUUCGGAUUGUAAAGCUCUGUCGUUUGGGACGAACGUGGGUAGUGUGAAUAAUGCUAUCUAAUGACGGUACCAAAGGAGGAAGCCACGGCUAACUACGUGCCAGCCGCCGCGGUAA